CUCAUUGGCUGGUUCCCACGCAGGCGCGAUUUAUGCAAAAGAAGCCCAUUUUUCCACGCUGAUUUGCUUUUGUCCAACACAUCUGCGGAGUGUGUACGGUGGACAGGCCCUCGGGAGGUGAUCUUGUGAACACUUGCUGAGGAUCCUUGAUGCCGAGUGCAGGAUGUUUCCUACCAGUUUGAAGCCAUGUCUGAAGGGUUCCGAGGUGGAAUGUUCUGCGCUGGCCGAUGGCGGCGUCGGGGGGGGGGGGCACUGCACCGCAUGCCCAUGGUGACGAGGAAACAGCUGACGCAGGCAACAACGGCAUAGACCAACAUCUGAAGGAUGACAGGGAAAAAAAGCUCCAUCCCCUUGGAAAAGAAGGAAAGAAGGGAAGAAUAAUGUGGAUUUAUUGAGGAGAAAGAGAAGUAAAUAUUUGGUGGCGUUUAAGAAGUGUUUGUGUUCCACCUGCAUGACAAGAUGAGGACUUUUUUUAAGGCAGCACUUCCAACAAGAAGAAGAUGAGGACAUGUUUGAGGCAGCACUUCCAACAAGAAGAAGAUGAGGACAUGUUUGAGGCAGCACUUCCAACAAGAAGAAGAUGAGGACAUGUUUGAGGCAGCACUUCCAACAAGAAGAAGAUGAGGACAUGUUUGAGGCAGCACUUCCAACAAGAAGAAGAUGAGGACAUGUUUGAGGCAGCACUUCCAACAAGAAGAAGAAGAUGAGGACAUGUUUGAGGCAGCACUUCCAACAAGAAGAAGAAGAUGAGGACAUGUUUGAGGCAGCACUUCCAACAAGAAGAAGAUGAGGACAUGUUUGAGGCAGCACUUCCAACAAGAAGAAGAAGAUGAGGACAUGUUUGAGGCAGCACUUCCAACAAGAAGAAGAUGAGGACAUGUUUGAGGCAGCACUUCCAACAAGAAGAAGAUGAGGACAUGUUUGAGGCAGCACUUCCAACAAGAAGAAGAUGAGGACAUGUUUGAGGCAGCACUUCCACCAAGAAGAAGAUGAGGACAUGUUUGAGGCAGCACUUCCAACAAGAAGAAGAUGAGGACAUGUUUGAGGCAGCACUUCCAACAAGAAGAAGAAGAUGAGGACAUGUUUGAGGCAGCACUUCCAACAACAAGAAGAAGAUGAGGACAUGUUUGAGGCAGCACUUCCAACAAGAAGAAGAAGAUGAGGACAUGUUUGAGGCAGCACUUCCAACAACAAGAAGAAGAUGAGGACAUGUUUGAGGCAGCACUUCCACCAAGAAGAAGAUGAGGACAUGUUUGAGGCAGCACUUCCAACAAGAAGAAGAUGAGGACAUGUUUGAGGCAGCACUUCCAACAAGAAGAAGAAGAUGAGGACAUGUUUGAGGCAGCACUUCCAACAACAAGAAGAAGAUGAGGACAUGUUUGAGGCAGCACUUCCAACAAGAAGAAGAAGAUGAGGACAUGUUUGAGGCAGCACUUCCAACAACAAGAAGAAGAUGAGGACAUGUUUGAGGCAGCACUUCCAACAAGAAGAAGAUGAGGACAUGUUUGAGGCAGCACUUCCAACAAGAAGAAGAUGAGGACAUGUUUGAGGCAGCACUUCCAACAAGAAGAAGAAGAUGAGGACAUGUUUGAGGCAGCACUUCCAACAAGAAGAAGAUGAGGACAUGUUUGAGGCAGCACUUCCAACAAGAAGAAGAUGAGGACAUGUUUGAGGCAGCACUUCCAACAAGAAGAAGAAGAUGAGGACAUGUUUGAGGCAGCACUUCCAACAAGAAGAAGAAGAUGAGGACAUGUUUGAGGCAGCACUUCCAACAAGAAGAAGAAGAGGACAUGUUUGAGGCAGCACUUCCAACAAGAAGAAGAUGAGGACAUGUUUGAGGCAGCACUUCCAACAAGAAGAAGAUGAGGACAUGUUUGAGGCAGCACUUCCAACAAGAAGAAGAAGAUGAGGACAUGUUUGAGGCAGCACUUCCAACAAGAAGAAGAUGAGGACAUGUUUGAGGCAGCACUUCCAACAAGAAGAAGAUGAGGACAUGUUUGAGGCAGCACUUCCAACAAGAAGAAGGACUAGAAGUGACGUCAUACCUGAGGUGAGUGCAAACUGUGAAAGAGGUGACUUGUCUUAAAGCGACAGUACACCCGUUUAAAUGAGUGACAUGCAAUGAAAGAUGUCUCGGAGACAAGAAGAAGGACAACUAGUCUUAAAGGAAUAAUAUUCAUGGCUGAAAAACUGCAAAAGAAGAGACAAAAUAAUCUAAAUGUUGAAUAAAU
Molecule: long non-coding RNA, 2231 nt
Organism: Nerophis ophidion (straightnose pipefish)
Lineage: Eukaryota; Metazoa; Chordata; Actinopteri; Syngnathiformes; Syngnathidae
Exons: 4
Source: RefSeq, a predicted model, not a curated record